ACACAUGCAAGUCGAGGGGCAGCAUGGUCUUAGCUUGCUAAGGCCGAUGGCGACCGGCGCACGGGUGAGUAACACGUAUCCAACCUGCCGUCUACUCUUGGACAGCCUUCUGAAAGGAAGAUUAAUACAAGAUGGCAUCAUGAGUCCGCAUGUUCACAUGAUUAAAGGUAUUCCGGUAGACGAUGGGGAUGCGUUCCAUUAGAUAGUAGGCGGGGUAACGGCCCACCUAGUCUUCGAUGGAUAGGGGUUCUGAGAGGAAGGUCUCCCACAUUGGAACUGAGACACGGUCCAAACUCCUACGGGAGGCAGCAGUGAGGAAUAUUGGUCAAUGGGCGAGAGCCUGAACCAGCCAAGUAGCGUGAAGGAUGACUGCCCUAUGGGUUGUAAACUUCUUUUAUAAAGGAAUAAAGUCGGGUAUGGAUACCCGUUUGCAUGUACUUUAUGAAUAAGGAUCGGCUAACUCCGUGCCAGCAGCCGCGGUAAUACGGAGGAUCCGAGCGUUAUCCGGAUUUAUUGGGUUUAAAGGGAGCGUAGAUGGAUGUUUAAGUCAGUUGUGAAAGUUUGCGGCUCAACCGUAAAAUUGCAGUUGAUACUGGAUAUCUUGAGUGCAGUUGAGGCAGGCGGAAUUCGUGGUGUAGCGGUGAAAUGCUUAGAUAUCACGAAGAACUCCGAUUGCGAAGGCAGCCUGCUAAGCUGCAACUGACAUUGAGGCUCGAAAGUGUGGGUAUCAAACAGGAUUAGAUACCCUGGUAGUCCACACGGUAAACGAUGAAUACUCGCUGUUUGCGAUAUACUGCAAGCGGCCAAGCGAAAGCGUUAAGUAUUCCACCUGGGGAGUACGCCGGCAACGGUGAAACUCAAAGGAAUUGACGGGGGCCCGCACAAGCGGAGGAACAUGUGGUUUAAUUCGAUGAUACGCGAGGAACCUUACCCGGGCUUAAAUUGCAGAUGAAUUACGGUGAAAGCCGUAAGCCGCAAGGCAUCUGUGAAGGUGCUGCAUGGUUGUCGUCAGCUCGUGCCGUGAGGUGUCGGCUUAAGUGCCAUAACGAGCGCAACCCUUGUUGUCAGUUACUAACAGGUUCCGCUGAGGACUCUGACAAGACUGCCAUCGUAAGAUGUGAGGAAGGUGGGGAUGACGUCAAAUCAGCACGGCCCUUACGUCCGGGGCUACACACGUGUUACAAUGGGGGGUACAGAGGGCCGCUACCACGCGAGUGGAUGCCAAUCCCCAAAACCUCUCUCAGUUCGGACUGGAGUCUGCAACCCGACUCCACGAAGCUGGAUUCGCUAGUAAUCGCGCAUCAGCCACGGCGCGGUGAAUACGUUCCCGGGCCUUGUACACACCGCCCGUCAAGCCAUGGGAGCCGGGGGUACCUGAAGUGCGUAACCGCGAGGAGCGCCCUAGGGUAAAACUGGUGACUGGGCUAAG
RNAcentral lists this ribosomal RNA (1429 nucleotides) under uncultured organism. RNAcentral's name for it is "SSU rRNA". It matches the Rfam family "Bacterial small subunit ribosomal RNA". The record is from RNAcentral.